UUACCAUGCAAGAUCGAGCGGAGAUGAUGGUGCUUGCACUUAUCACUUAGCGGCGGACGGNUGAGUUNAUGCUUACGAAUCUGCCUAUNAGUGGGGGACAACAUCUUCGAAAGGGAUGCUAAUACCGCAUACGUCCUACGGGAGAAAGCAGGGGAUCACUUGUNACCUUGCGCUAAUAGAUGAGCCUAAGUCGGAUUAGCUAGUUGGNGGGGNAAAGGCCUACCAAGGCGACGAUCUGNNCC
RNAcentral lists this ribosomal RNA (242 nucleotides) under Acinetobacter sp. 187. RNAcentral's name for it is "partial 16S ribosomal RNA". It matches the Rfam family "Bacterial small subunit ribosomal RNA", at positions 54 to 287 of the family's 1533-position model. Lineage: Bacteria; Pseudomonadati; Pseudomonadota; Gammaproteobacteria; Moraxellales; Moraxellaceae. The record is from RNAcentral.